This 93-nucleotide non-coding RNA is filed under the name Mollicutes bacterium. RNAcentral describes it as "THF-I sequence". It matches the Rfam family "THF (Tetrahydrofolate) riboswitch aptamer". Rfam says of the family: THF riboswitch presents a pseudoknot that joins P1-P2 and the loop of P3 and two THF binding. Lineage: Bacteria; Bacillati; Mycoplasmatota; Mollicutes. The record is from RNAcentral. RNAcentral also lists the same sequence under 1 other name.
UUAAGAGUAGCUAUUCUGCGUUAAGUGUUAUACCAUGGGAUGUCGGGUAUAAACGAACACAAAACGUGGCGGUAGAAUAGCGCGUCCGCUAAU